AUCCGGGUUGCGGACAGUGUCUGGUGGGUAGUUUGACUGGGGCGGUCUCCUCCUAAAGAGUAACGGAGGAGCACGAAGGUCAGCUAAUCCUGGUCGGACAUCAGGAGGUUAGUGCAAUGGCAUAAGCUGGCUUGACUGCGAGCGUGACGGCGCGAGCAGGUGCGAAAGCAGGUCAUAGUGAUCCGGUGGUUCUGAAUGGAAGGGCCAUCGCUCAACGGAUAAAAGGUACUCCGGGGAUAACAGGCUGAUACCGCCCAAGAGUUCAUAUCGACGGCGGUGUUUGGCACCUCGAUGUCGGCUCAUCACAUCCUGGGGCUGAAGUAGGUCCCAAGGGUAUGGCUGUUCGCCAUUUAAAGUGGUACGCGAGCUGGGUUUAGAACGUCGUGAGACAGUUCGGUCCCUAUCUGCCGUGGGCGCUGGAGAACUGAGGGGGGCUGCUCCUAGUACGAGAGGACCGGAGUGGACGCAUCACUGGUGUUCGGGUUGUCAUGCCAAUGGCACUGCCCGGUAGCUAAAUGCGGAAGAGAUAAGUGCUGAAAGCAUCUAAGCACGAAACUUGCCCCGAGAUGAGUUCUCCCUGAC
Molecule: ribosomal RNA, 582 nt
Filed under: Citrobacter koseri
Lineage: Bacteria; Pseudomonadati; Pseudomonadota; Gammaproteobacteria; Enterobacterales; Enterobacteriaceae
Description: partial 23S ribosomal RNA
Rfam family: Bacterial large subunit ribosomal RNA
Source: RNAcentral